UGCUCCAUGAAUAAUUGUUUCAAUAGCCGCAGUAUACUGACUGUGCAAAGGUAGCAUAAUAACUUGUUUUUUUAAUUAAAUUGCUGAAUGAAUGGGGUAAGGAUAUGUUGAAGUUUUCUUUAUUAAUUAAGAACUUAAUAAAAAGAGUAAAAAUUUCUCUUUUUUUUCUGUUUAAUACGAAAAGACCCUACUAGAACUUGAAAUAAUUGUUUGUUUUUGUUUGGGGGUAAUCGUAUUUGUUGUAAAUACAUGUAUAUAAAAAGUUUC
RNAcentral lists this ribosomal RNA (267 nucleotides) under Bdelloura candida. RNAcentral describes it as "partial 16S ribosomal RNA". The record is from RNAcentral. Lineage: Eukaryota; Metazoa; Platyhelminthes; Tricladida; Bdellouridae.